UGGGGAAUUUUGGACAAUGGGCGAAAGCCUGAUCCAGCAAUGCCGCGUGUGUGAAGAAGGCCUUCGGGUUGUAAAGCACUUUUGUCCGGAAAGAAAUCCUUGGCUCUAAUACAGUCGGGGGAUGACAGUACCGGAAGAAUAAGCACCGGCUAACUACGUGCCAGCAGCCGCGGUAAUACGUAGGGUGCAAGCGUUAAUCGGAAUUACUGGGCGUAAAGCGUGCGCAGGCGGUUUGCUAAGACCGAUGUGAAAUCCCCGGGCUCAACCUGGGAACUGCAUUGGUGACUGGCAGGCUAGAGUAUGGCAGAGGGGGGUAGAAUUCCACUGUAGCAGUGAAAUGCGUAGAGAUGUGGAGGAAUACCGAUGGCGAAGGCAGCCCCCUGGGCCAAUACUGACGCUCAUGCACGAAAGCGUGGGGAGCAAACAGGAUUAGAUACCCUGGUAGUCCACGCCCUAAACGAUGUCAACUGUUGUUGGGGAUUCAUUUCCUUAGUAACGUAGCUAACGCGUGAAGUUGACCGCCUGGGGAGUACGGUCGCAAGAUUAAAACUCAAAGGAAUUGACGGGGUCAUAGCUGUUU
Molecule: ribosomal RNA, 580 nt
Filed under: uncultured bacterium
Lineage: Bacteria
Description: partial 16S ribosomal RNA
Rfam family: Bacterial small subunit ribosomal RNA
Source: RNAcentral